GUCCCUUCGAGGACAUCCGAUAAAAUUGGAACGAUACAAAGAAGAUUAGCAUGGCCCACUGCGCAAGGAUGACACGCACAAAUCGAGAAAUAAUCCAAACUUUU
This is a non-coding RNA of Solanum lycopersicum (tomato), 104 nucleotides long. Lineage: Eukaryota; Viridiplantae; Streptophyta; Magnoliopsida; Solanales; Solanaceae. The record is from Rfam.